GCUUGUAGAUUCGCCCGGACCAGGAAGCGGAUCGCGUGGACUGGAAGUCACACUGCGGCGGGAGGGGGUAUGUUGACUCUGAGCAAUAAACAACAUAUUUCUAACAUUCAUGAUUGACUUCUAAAGACUCUGGGUAUGUGAAGAAGAAACUCAGAAGAGGAAGAGGAAAGCAAAGGAGUCAGGGAUGGCUCUUCCUCAGAUUCCAUCUCUCGUGACCCAAUGACAUGAACAUGAGAAGAGGUUGCAGUAGGCAUGGUCCUGGGAAGGGCUCACACACAGACAUGGAUGGAGACGGGGUGAGGGUCCUAUGGUGUCAGUGGUGUUGGGCGGCAGGGAUUGUUCAGGGCCGCAUCUGGAUGCACUGUCAGUUUUCUGUGGACCAAGAUUAGAGUAGCUGCCAAUG
RNAcentral lists this long non-coding RNA (403 nucleotides) under Homo sapiens (human). RNAcentral describes it as "non-protein coding lnc-ZNF320-1:8". Lineage: Eukaryota; Metazoa; Chordata; Mammalia; Primates; Hominidae. The record is from RNAcentral.